RNAcentral lists this ribosomal RNA (787 nucleotides) under Parabacteroides merdae. RNAcentral's name for it is "bacterial SSU rRNA". It matches the Rfam family "Bacterial small subunit ribosomal RNA", at positions 69 to 852 of the family's 1533-position model. The record is from RNAcentral. Lineage: Bacteria; Pseudomonadati; Bacteroidota; Bacteroidia; Bacteroidales; Tannerellaceae.
AUGAUUUGUAGCAAUACAGAUUGAUGGCGACCGGCGCACGGGUGAGUAACGCGUAUGCAACUUACCUAUCAGAGGGGGAUAGCCCGGCGAAAGUCGGAUUAAUACCCCAUAAAACAGGGGUCCCGCAUGGGAAUAUUUGUUAAAGAUUCAUCGCUGAUAGAUAGGCAUGCGUUCCAUUAGGCAGUUGGCGGGGUAACGGCCCACCAAACCGACGAUGGAUAGGGGUUCUGAGAGGAAGGUCCCCCACAUUGGUACUGAGACACGGACCAAACUCCAACGGGAGGCAGCAGUGAGGAAUAUUGGUCAAUGGCCGAGAGGCUGAACCAGCCAAGUCGCGUGAAGGAAGAAGGAUCUAUGGUUUGUAAACUUCUUUUAUAGGGGAAUAAAGUGGAGGACGUGUCCUUUUUUGUAUGUACCCUAUGAAUAAGCAUCGGCUAACUCCGUGCCAGCAGCCGCGGUAAUACGGAGGAUGCGAGCGUUAUCCGGAUUUAUUGGGUUUAAAGGGUGCGUAGGUGGUGAUUUAAGUCAGCGGUGAAAGUUUGUGGCUCAACCAUAAAAUUGCCGUUGAAACUGGGUUACUUGAGUGUGUUUGAGGUAGGCGGAAUGCGUGGUGUAGCGGUGAAAUGCAUAGAUAUCACGCAGAACUCCGAUUGCGAAGGCAGCUUACUAAACCAUAACUGACACUGAAGCACGAAAGCGUGGGGAUCAAACAGGAUUAGAUACCCUGGUAGUCCACGCAGUAAACGAUGAUUACUAGGAGUUUGCGAUACAAUGUAAGCUCUACAGC